UAAUACGAGGGGUGCUAGCGUUGUCCGGAAUCACUGGGCGUAAAGGGUCCGUAGGCGUUUUGCUAAGUUGAUUGUUAAAUCCAUCGGCUCAACCGAUGAUCUGCAAUCAAAACUGGUAGAAUAGAGUUCGAGAGAGGAAAGUAGAAUUCCUGGUGUAGCGGUGACAUGCGUAGAUAUCAGGAGGAACACCAAUGGCGAAGGCAGCUUUCUGGCUCGAUACUGACGCUGAGGGACGAAAGCGUGGGGAGCGAACAGGAUUAGAUACCCUGGUAGUCCACGCCGUAAACGAUGAGUACUUGAUGUCGGGGGAUUCGACCCCUUCGGUGUCGUAGCUAACGCGAUAAGUACUCCGCCUGGGGACUACGACCGCAAGGUUG
This 377-nucleotide ribosomal RNA is filed under the name uncultured bacterium. Its description in RNAcentral is "bacterial SSU rRNA". It matches the Rfam family "Bacterial small subunit ribosomal RNA", at positions 521 to 896 of the family's 1533-position model. The record is from RNAcentral.